This is a long non-coding RNA of Hippopotamus amphibius kiboko, 991 nucleotides long. RefSeq lists it as uncharacterized. Lineage: Eukaryota; Metazoa; Chordata; Mammalia; Artiodactyla; Hippopotamidae. The transcript has 5 exons. The record is from RefSeq and is a predicted model, not a curated record.
UACACUUUUUCUUCUCUUGGGAAUACCCCCACUUACUCUUAUCUAUCAAUCUCAUACUUGAAAUUUAGCAAAUGAAUCACUUUCUUCUUGAAGCUUUCCCAGAUGCUCAAUUCUAUAAUUGUACUUAGUACAAGGUAUUGCAGUUAUUCUAGUCUACACAUCUGCCUCUCCUAGAGACUAUAAAUACCUUUCUGAGACUGGAUCUUAUCUGACCACAUGACAAGCAUAAGAGAGUGCUUAAAAAUAAGAAUCCUGGAAUGCUGAGUUUAAAUUCAGACUUCUGUGAAUUAGUUCUGUCAUCUCAGUUCUGGAAGCUGAGAUGUUCAAGAUCAAGAUGCUGGCCAAUCUGGUUCCUGAGGUUCAGUUUUAGAGCCACGUGUGAUCUGUGACUCCUCUACGCAGUCUACCGUUUGGUCAUGGGCAGUAGUUUGGAUCUCUUCUUUUCCAGGAAAUUCACCUGUAAAACCCAGCCACCAUGUUGUAAGGGAGCCCAGGUAACAUGGAGGUGCUACUUAGAGGUGUUCUAGCUAAUAGGCUCAGGUAGGGCCCCAGGCAGGAGUCGGCAUCAAUCUCCAGAAACGUGGAUGCUUUCGAGCAGCCUCAGCUGACACUGAAUGGAACAGAGAUGGGCUGUCCCCACGGAGUGCUGAGAAAUCACACAUUCAAAAGCAAAUCUCUUGUAGGUCAUACACCGAGUGUUCACUUUGCCGGACACCCUUCCGGGUGUUGAGGAUGUGGUAGUGAACUAAACCUAAUUCUUUCCCUCAUGGAGCUUCCUCAGUAGCUGGGAGAGACAGACACUGGAUAAAUACAUACGGAAAACAGAAUUUCAGCGGCUGGUAAGAGCAAUAGAGAAACGCCAAGCAGGGAAGGGAAUGGGGCUCCUCUUGGGGACUGCUUCAGUUCUUCGUGGUCCUUGCUUUGACCCCAACUUCUGCCACAGAGACCAGUCCUGGCAGACUCUGGCCAGCUGUGCCAAAGCUGCACAGAA